RNAcentral lists this unclassified non-coding RNA (324 nucleotides) under uncultured Paraglomerales. RNAcentral's name for it is "sequence contains ITS2". The record is from RNAcentral. Lineage: Eukaryota; Fungi; Glomeromycota; Glomeromycetes; Paraglomerales.
AACGCAAAUUGCGCCUUCUUUCGGAAGGCAUGUCUGUUUGAGGGCACCAUUUAACAAAUAAUGUGCGCGUCGUUUACGGACGACGUGCGCACGUUGAUGAGCUUUUCCGAAAAAACCCGGUUUUUUUGGUGGCGCAUAAUGAACAGCGUGGGCUUUUUCUUCGAUUCUCGUGUAGUAAAUGUUCAACGCUUGGGUUGAGAAAAAGUGCGUGCCGCGCAAUGGGUGUGGCGAAUUUUACCCCUGCCCCAAUGCCACUCUUUCCCUGCGAAAGAACAAUCUUUUAUUUAGGGCCUCAAAUCAGACAAGAGUACCCGCUGAACUUAA